RNAcentral lists this unclassified non-coding RNA (7303 nucleotides) under Sweet potato chlorotic stunt virus. The stretch from base 7243 to 7303 matches the Rfam family "3'-terminal pseudoknot in SPCSV". The record is from RNAcentral. Lineage: Riboviria; Orthornavirae; Kitrinoviricota; Alsuviricetes; Martellivirales; Closteroviridae.
AAUUGUUUCGUUAAUAUAUUCUGAGUAUUCUUAAAUUCUUUCAUUCCCUUUCUCUUCUUUUGUAUUAUGGAGGCUAAAGCUGGUUUAGACUUUGGUACCACCUUCAGCACUAUCUCCGCGUACGUCGGGGGUACGAUGAAGGUCCUUAGAAUAAACGGGUCGGAGUUUAUUCCCACCUGUUUAUCUGUCACGGCUACAGGCGACGUGGUUGUUGGUGGGGCUGCCCAGGUUUUGGAUUCUUCGCAAUUACCCCAUUGCUAUUUCUAUGACUUAAAACGUUGGGUUGGCGUUGAUAGGUUGUCCUUUGAAGAAAUAAAACGUAAGAUAUCCCCACAGUAUACGGUCAGAUUGGAAGGUAAUGAUGUGCUAAUAACAGGAAUCUCGAAGGGGUUCUCUUGUACAUAUACUGUGAAACAGCUCAUUCUUCUCUAUGUUGACACCUUGGUCAGACUAUUCUCAAAUGUUGAAAAGCUGAAGAUUCUGAGUUUAAAUGUGUCAGUUCCCGCAGAUUACAAAACCAAGCAACGGAUGUUUAUGAAAUCAGUUUGUGAGUCGCUCGGUUUUCCAUUGAGAAGGAUUAUAAACGAACCUUCUGCCGCAGCUAUUUACUCGAUAUCAAAGCAUCCUGGCUUCGACUAUUUCUUAGUCUAUGAUUUUGGAGGAGGUACCUUUGAUACUUCUUUGAUAGCGAAGGACGGGAAAUUUGUCACUGUGGCAGAUACCCUGGGAGAUUCGUUUCUGGGUGGUAGAGAUAUAGAUCGUGCGAUUUUGUCACAUAUUAUGCGUACGAACAGUCUUCAGAAGCCGCUGUCAGCAGAUUCACUUGCGGCAAUUAAAGAGGAAGUUAACUCCACUGGUAGGAGUAAUUUCAAUGUUUUGGACGUCGACGGUAACAUCAUCUUUGUGAACUUUUCGGGUGAGGAAUUGGAUAAGAUAGUUUCGAAGUUUACUGCUAAGAGUUUGAAGAUACUUAAAGCAAUAGCAGAUAGGAAUAAAAUCACUUCUGGGGCUCUUUUCUUGGUAGGAGGAUCUUCGUUACUUAGAAAAGUCCAAUUAGAUGUUAGUAAUUUUGCUAAAUCUAUUGGACUUACGCCAAUUAUCGAUAAAGACUUGAGGUCUGCAGUGUCCUACGGCUGUUCCAUGAUGCAUGCCCAAGAAGACAGCGGUUCUAUGGUUUACAUAGAUUGUAACUCACAUCCUUUGAUGGAUGUGUCCUUGUUUGCUAAUCCAAGAGUCAUAAUUCGGAAGCCAAUGUCUGUUCCUUUCUCAUAUAAAACUACCAGAAAAGUUGAUCGACACAUGAUGACUGCUGUAAAUGUGUAUGAAGGAUCCAGUCUUUUCGUGUUAGAUAAUGACUGGCUUGUUAGUGCUAAUGUGAACACACAAGAUUUUGUAGAUUUAGGGCAAGAACUAUCGUAUGUGUAUAAAUAUAAUGUUGAUGGUAUUCUUGACCUUUUUGUUCGAAAUGAAUCAACUGGAGUCGAGAGUCUGUUGCCUAACUCAUUUGCCUUGACUGAAAAGGUAAAGAAGUUAGAUUUGAACCUGACACAACUGUCAAGUGUUGACGAAUUGGCAACGGUUGUCUCCAUUCUCAGUCAUUUUGAUUCGAGUUUUAGUAGUCUCUUAAAGUUGGUCAAUACUCCAUCCAUUUUUGAAACGUCAGCUGCAAAAUUCGGUGACUUAAGAUCAUUGUAUGAACGUUUAAUCUUCGUUAAUAAGAACUUUUCUUGAGCUUUCUUCGUUUCUCUAAUAAUGUCACAGUCUAUAAUCGAUAGUGAUUUUGUGACUGAAACAUUCAGAUAUGCUUUUAAGAAGACUGAUGUUAGAGAUAAAUUGGAAAGACUUAAUGAAGUCAUGAAAGAUAAUUUAGACCAGAUCAAUAGGAAUAAGUAUUCUUUCAAUUUUCAAGGACAGACCUACAAUCUUUCAUCGAAUUAUCAGGUUAGGAACGGGGUUGUUCAUGUGAAUACUGAGGCUCCUUUAGAGGUUUUGAAGCUUUUGUCUGUAUAUAUGUAUUAUGUAGAACCAAAGUACAUUGAUAUGUCACCUUACAGUCCUGAAUCUUUAUUCGGUAAUCCGAAUUAUAUGAAGGCUGUUAAGAUGUGGAAGCCUUACUAUGACAAGUCGAUGAACGAGUAUUUGAAUGAUAGAAGUGAGGUUGGGUGUUUAUACACCAUGGAUGACAUAGACAAGAACUAUCCUACACUGAGUCAAACGAGGAAAAUUACUCUAUAUAGAGUUUGCAAUUCCUUAGGAAAACUCGUGGACCUAAAAGAGCUUAGUGCCGGUGUACUUAAAGCUUUUGAGGUCAAAACUUCUGACGUUGGUCAAGCAGUCAUGACGACAACUACCGAUAAUGCACUCUUUGGUGAGUGUGUCAAGGUGUUCAAAGAUUUUAUAGUUCUCAAUUCUACAAAGGCUGGGAAAGAAAAGAUAGAGGUUAAUAGAAAGUUUUUGAACUCUUUCCUGCGAUGUCUGUCUCCAAAAGACGAACUCGGUAAUCUAGGCGAAAAUCCGUUGCUAAUCGCCUGGUUUAUGCGAGAAUUCACCAACCGUACAAAGAACAGUAAGGGUUAUAAGGACAAUUUUAAGGCUGUGGUAGAUUUGAGUCAACCAAUGCUUAAGUUUCUCAAGGACGUGUUCUUAAAAGAUCUGAGUCUAGAUGAAGACUCUCUAUUCAUAACUUUUCCUAAGAACUCUGUAGUGGAGAUAGUUGAUCAAGUGAUACCGCUAGCUAAAUUUCAUAGGAAUCAAGCACUCCCAAAACCAAUGAGUAAUUCUUGCGAUUUACCUAGGGACGUUGACGAAUUGGUUUCUAAAACCAUCGCAGAAUAUUUGGGUAAAUUCGUCAAGACUGAUGAAGAUUUGUUGCUAGAUGCCUUUCUUUUCGUAUUAGGCAGAUGUACGACGAAUCAGAAGCGUUGGACUUCCGGUUUUGAAAUAGAUUUUAAAAUUUUGGGUGAGAGAAUUAAGUUUGAUUCCAAAGAUUUAUGGUAUCAUCUAGUCAAUGUUGUUCGUACAAACCAUCCGCGGUUUAGAACGAAUAAUUUGAUUAGACAGUGGGCCAACAAUAGAGGUGAUAGAGCCAGGGCAAUGUUUAAAAUUUGUGAGUACCACCCUGGACUGUUUGGUAGUAUCCCCAGAAUAGACAAUCACAUGCGGUUCGAUUUCUUUAAAUUGUUGAAUUUGCGAUUGAUGUCUGAGUCGGAAAAAGUGUCUUAUUACACACUCCGUCUUAUGACUGAGAGUAAAUCGAAUAACAGUGAUAAAGAUUUUUGUAAGUUGGUUUCAUGGAUUUCAGCGAAUUGAUUGAGAAGUAUGGAGUUGAGAGGAUUUCUUCUUUGACGUCUAGAUUGUUAGAAAUAAAAAGAACUGGAGUCGGUCUCGUGAAUUUGUUGCUAAAUCUGAUUAAUGAGAAUUUUGUCUACUUCGACUCAAAUAGGUCUAAGUGUGGGUUUGAAAAAGAGGAUCACGUUCUUAUUUUGCAAAUAAUUCCUUUAUUGCGUAUUUGAGGUUUGUUCUUUAUAUUAUCAUAACUUAACAGAUGGAUACUGGCAAAGUAAACGAUGACAAGAACUUUGACUCUGACUCCGAUGUAGGUUUCGGGGACAGGAAUGAGAACGAUAAUCUACGAAGACGUUCCGAUACGAUUGACAACGAAAACGUCAACAAUGUGGGAAGAAGAGACAUGGAGUUAACCAGUGGUAUAUUAACAUCUGAGCAACUGGCUCUUGCGAGGUUGGGAAAAAUACAGGUUUAUUCUAACUCACCAGACAUUAUGUCUAAGAGUCAAGAAGAUGAAUUCAAGAGACAUAUGGAGAGUUUUGUGAGGCAAAUUUCAGGGGAAACUACAUUAUCUCCUGAGAUUUUUGCAGGUUUCUACGCAUCUCUAUUCCAAGCUUGGGCAAACCAAAGUACUUCGGAAAAGAACGCGUCGAAUGCAAAUCUCGAGAAUGUGUUCAUGGUUAAUGGUAAGGAGUACAGUUGGAGAACUCAUAGUUUCAUCAAUCACAUGCAAUCCAAUAUGCCCGACGUGAAGAAUGCUGCUAGGAAAUGGGCCAGGGCUCACGCGAAUGAUUAUAAGGUUCUUGUUGGUUUGGGUAUAGUAAAACCUGACUAUCAUUUGCAAGCUAAACAAGGUGUAUUACCGGAGUAUUGGCAUCUUGCGACCGACUUCAUGAGAGGUAAUGACAUGGCGACGACUGCAGAUGGAUUAGCAGCAACACUGAUGAUGAUGAAAAGGAACGCUCUUUGUAACAAGGACAACAAGAAUUCUAUUUAUAACGUAACUCAAUUGACCGGUACUGGUCUUCACUGUUGAGUAUGGAUAUAUUAGAACUAGAAGUAGAUAACAUUAUAUCGACAAAUUAUCCCGAUGAUGAAUCCGAAAUAGUGACUAGAGCUGUGGGAUGUAAGUUCAAUCAAGAUUAUUCUCUACCUUACAAAGAUAGAGAACAAGUCGACUUCUCUAUACCUUACACUUCCGCGUUAAGAAGUAAACCUGUCACUUUAGAACUAUAUUUUCAUAUAGGAUCCGGGUAUGUUGUGUAUACUUGUAAACCCGCCGAUAACUUCAACCAAAAGAUAUAUGAGUCGAAUUUGGGAUCAUUCUUCUCAUCUUUUAGGAAUCUCGUCACUCCCAGAAGACCGCGUGGUAUGAACGCAUUUAGAUUUGGAUAUUUGCGAGAGGGAAACGACUGCUUUAUAAUAGUUGAAGGUUGGAGAGUCGUGCAGAUAUCAAAUGCCAACACUAUAUUCGGCGUUUCAUUGAGGUUAUCGUUAGACAUUGGCGACGUAAUCUUCAGCAAGUCCGACAAACUAAGUGCUAAUCAAAUUGCUCUAGAUUCGUGUUUGGAAUGCACUAGACCAGAUGGUUUGUUGAAAGGGGCCAAACCGAAAAGUGUUAAUAUUUUCUCUGAGACAACCCAAGAAAGUGUGAAAAUAACACCAAUUGGAGACAUUCCAUUAAGUGUUUUCAAUUCAGUAACCAAUCUCAAUCUAAAAAUACUGAGAAGUGGUGACGAUUCUACAUCGAUUAAAGAUGAGACUCAGAUCGACAAAGACCGUACUACAAUGAGUAAUGAAGAAGAUAAAAAGAAGAUCUUCCGCAUUUAUUACUCAAAUUUCUUAGACAGUGGUUUUAAGAAUUCUUUAAACUACACUAUACUUUGGCCGCAGAUAUCAUGUAACGGUGUAGAUGUAAAUCACCAAUUUUGGAUCGGUGACAGAGAAGAUAUGUUUGAAGGAGGUGUACAUUACAUACACACCACAUCGAUCAAUACGUUAUUCUUCGUACAUCGUAAGGGAGAUGUUUCAGAAUAUUUUAAAAUAAACGAAGAUCAAUCUGCCAGGAUACUGAAGACUAUACCAACUGAACUCACCUUCAGUAUAGUCAAAAAUCCUGGAAGUAAGUAUGUGGUGUAUGUCAAUGGAGAAAAAUUUUUAAGUACAUUUCUGCCUAAUGUUGGUACCAAAGUCCAAAUAGGUUGGGAAAUAAAGUUGUACAAAGAUAAGGUUAAAAAUUUUGAGAAGUCCAAUUUGAAAACUUUCGAAAUUGUUCCUAGAGAAACGCAAGUUAAGUCGGAUAAUGAGCUUGUGACACUAAGAAAAUAUGAGUUUGGAACAACAGAUUUCAAUGCUAGUGGAUGGGUACUUGAAAAGAAGUUGGGGCUGAGAUUGAAAACAAUUAAGCAUGUCAACGAACUUUUCACCGAUGACAAACCUCCUGAGAAAGAAGAACAAGUCGAUAAGACGGAUAAGCAAGACAAGAAAACACCCGAAGAAAAGAUCGACGACACCGUAGUUGUUGACAAGACAGAGGAUGCGAAAGAAAACUUGGAAGAGUUCGCACUCAAAGCCGUUGUUUAUCAACCACUAUCAAGGUUAGAAGAUGAGAAAAUCUUCAACAACAUGAUUAAAUAUUAUGAAAGUAAGGGAUUAACUCAAAGACAAGCUGAAUUACUCAUCUAUCAAAUGGGAGUUUCCUUUUGUACGAGUGUUAACAGUUGUGCAAAUACCAAUCUACAUUUAAUUGUAUCUAAACCGGAUGGAAGUUUGCUCAAGGUGUCUAAGUCCGACCACGUAAUGAGGAUGCAAAUGUUGUGUAAGAAGUACUGCAACGUUGAAAGAACGUUACUUAGAAAUAGAAGUGAUAAAAUAUUCAGACUUCUGAAGGCUAAGGUACUGGUUUUACCACUGAAACAUGCUAGGGUCAGAGGUAUAAAACCGGAAAUGGCACAUAUGGCAUGUGAUUUCAUGGACUACACCACCAUCCCAUUGAGUGAUGAGGAAGUUCUUGCAUUAAAUUCAAUGCAAAGAUUUGUAUUGAUGAGAAAUAAGCACCGCAGGUCCAUAGUGAAUGUGAAUCAACUGUUUUGAAAAUAUGUCGGGCUGGGAUGACAUACCUAUACAACAAAAUUAUGUUUCUUCCAGCGUUCGUAAUGAUGAUGACAUUGCGAAGAUAUGUGCCAGAACGUUUAACCGAGCAGUUAAUUUAUUAACUGAUUAUUCUCAACAUACUAUUCCUGAACUUCGAGAAAGUAGAUUCGAGUUGGGAUGUAUCCGAAGUCUGUGUGAAAACGAUGACCUCAAUAUCAACCUUGGAGCAGAUAAUAACAAUCUUUUCCAAGGAUUGAACAAAUUGGGCGUUAGGGCCGACUCACUUAGAGUUAACAGUGAGAGGUUCUUCCCCUCAAUAUCCAGUAAGGUGAUGACCAACGUGAUAGAUUCUAUUUCCUCUGUGAUGGAGUUUGUUAUAGAUCUUAAUCAUUCUGGGUUUUCAACCUUAUGGGUUGGUGAGAUCAUGACCAUAUAUGAUGUCAACAGUUUUGACAAACUGGUGGAUGCCAUAUAUAGGUUUUUGUUAUACACCUACAACUUCCCUGAGGAAGUGCAAUUUCAUAUGACCUUGAAUUUGUUUAAUGACGAUAUUUUAAAAAUAAUAUCAAAAGCAAAGAAAAAGAUUAGACCUCUUAGUGAUAGUGAGAGGGUUUUAAUGGCUAAAAGUAUUACUAAAGGGAUUCAUUUCGAAUUCCACUUUACUUAUAGGUCUUUAGGUUUAUAUCUUCCUAAAGUAACUAAUAGUCUAACGGUUUGUAAUAAAAAUCGAUAAAGAUAUUAGGGUAGAUUUGAUUAAUGUUUAUACCCUAGAGUCAUACACCUGAGAGAUUCGGAGUGUGUAUUGUAAAAACUCAAAAAAUAUAUGUUUCGUAUACGUAUUUCUAUUUAGAGUGUGUGUAUGAACGGUUUUCCUAAAUCGUCGUGAGACGGACCUUGGAAAACCUAGUAUUUAAAUAACUAGGUC